Archocentrus centrarchus (flier cichlid) is the source of this 1305-nucleotide long non-coding RNA. RefSeq lists it as uncharacterized. The record is from RefSeq and is a predicted model, not a curated record. Lineage: Eukaryota; Metazoa; Chordata; Actinopteri; Cichliformes; Cichlidae. The transcript has 3 exons.
CCUUAAAUGUGAAGGUGCCGCGUCGCUAUUGGCCAGAGCGAGCACAUGCUCUCAGCGGCGCAGGGAGCACGUACACACACAGAAGGAAAACAAGCAUGGCGGGAAUUGAAGAGACGAGUCGAGACGAAAACAGAGAGCAUUUGGGACGACUACGGUUUUUCCACACAGGACGAGUCACAGACACAAGUUCUUUGCAAGUCAUGCCGAAAAAUCGUGGCUAUGUCAAGAGGAAACACGACAAACCUCCUUCAAUACAACCACAAGGAACUUUACAACGUAUAUUUAACAUCUAAAAACCCACAGCCUACUCCGGUAAAGUCAAGCAAACGAAAGGCAAGUUCACAAACUAACAUAAAUGAUAGUUUCGCUUCUGCCGCUCCUUAUGAGAAGGCAGAGCUCAGUGAAGUGGAUUUUUAUGCUAGCACUACUGACUUGUGGUCCAGUCGAACCACUGAGCCAUACAUGAGUUUUACCGUGCACUUUUUGACAUGCAAAUUUGAGCUCAUUACACGCUGCCUAUAAGUAGCAUACUUCCCCGAGACACACACUGGUGAAAACAUUGCUGCUGCCCUGCGGGAUGUUUUGAACAACUGGAACUUGCCCAAACACAACAAGUGGCCAUCACAACAGAUAACGGAGCGAACGUGGUGAAGGCUGCUGAGGUCAACAACUGGUUCAGAGUGCAGUGCUUUGGCCAUCGCCUGCAUCUGGCAAUUGCCAGAACGGCUACAUCCUAUCCACUGACGACCUGCGUGGUGACCACCGUUGAGCUGGCGGUCUGCAGGCCGGCCCUGAUCUUCACCUCACGACGCAUCUGGCACCAGACACACAGCCUUACAGAGAUGUUGUAGCGAUCUCUGAUGGACUUGCGGAGUAAGCAGGACACCACACCACAGGAGUCCAGGAGUGGCAUGCAGCAGCAAUAGCCAUGUUUCCUGGCUGUAUCACACUGCAUGCAGGGGAAACACCAAAGGGCACAGCAGCCUCGAGGGAAGAAGAAAAACAUGCAGAGACACAGUGUCUGUAUGAGGUUAUUCCAGCAUUCAGUAAGUUUUCCUUCAACAACCUGCUGAUGAAUCCUGUGGUUUAUAUGCUGACUUUAUCUGAAUAAAAGUCUCAAUGAAAGUCUGAAGAGAUGAUUGAUGUAGAAAUCGUUGGUGUUUGUAGGGUUUUUGGACUGACUUACAGGUGCCCAUAUCAGAGAAGCAAUCACACAGGCCGGUGCUCCACUGCCCAGGAUUCUGUGCGGUGUGGGUGACUGUCACCACCUGGGUGGGUUGUUGGUAGACAGCCAUGACUGGAGGA